This 1085-nucleotide long non-coding RNA is filed under the name Lupinus mutabilis. Its description in RNAcentral is "partial ncRNA". The record is from RNAcentral. Lineage: Eukaryota; Viridiplantae; Streptophyta; Magnoliopsida; Fabales; Fabaceae.
CGUGUUUUUGCUGAGGUGCCAAAACCGUGAAGCUGUGUUCCAUCACCAUCUCGUCGUUUCGUUUCUCUAUCAACCGUUUUCUCAAUCAGGUGUUCUUCCUUCCUUCUCUUACAACUUUUUCUCUCUUCUCCGUUUUACGUUUCACGAUCCCUUUUGCUUUUACUUGUUAUACGAUUUCUUGCAUUCGACAUGGAUUUACUAUUUCGUUAUCAGAUCCAUGUGCCUUUUGUUGAACAAGUUAAUCCUACUCGAUGAGACAAAUGAUUUUCUUACUGAACUCGAUCUUUUGACAGAUCCAAUCUAAUUAUACAAAUUCAUCGAUGUCCAACGUUAUAAUGAAAAAAGAUAGUAUCGAUGAAUUUGCUAUGAGUGUAGCUCGGACAUGAAAGUUUUAUUACCGUAAAAUCUGAUUUUGUUUACUAAUUAGUUGGGAGUGAAUUAGUGAUUGUUGCUAAGGAAGAAGGGUGAAGUCAAAUGUAUAAUGAACUAGCUGACUUUACAAUUUGGCUUGUGAAUGUUUUUGCACACGCAAAAAAUAAAAUAACGGAAAGAGUGAUAUUUGAAUGAAAAAUGUUUUCUUUAUCAUGUUCAUAUUUUGUUCGUCUCAAUGGUUUGUUUGGAUGGGUGAAAUAGAGGGGUGGAACGGAGUAGAAUGAGAGUCUUACCGUUACAUUCAAUCCCCUAUAUAAAAUUCUCGAAUAUACCAUAAGGCAAUUUCUGAUUAGAAUAGGGCAGAUGGUAUGCUUCCUUGACCUCUAUUGUUUUUUCGAGGUUUAGAAAGAACAAGAUAGGUUUAUUGUUGCUGUUUUCAUUAUAAAUUUAUAAUGAAACAAACUCUUCUAAAUUUAGAAAGCAAUGAUUUAUCCACCGUUCACUAGUUUUUAUGAUUUGUUAGUCCUUUUGAGUCAGAAUCUGAUAUGGGGCUGCAAAUCUCUCUUCUUCUACCAGAGUUGCUCCCAACCUCUCUUCUGUGCUCCCCUCUCUAAACAACUGAUUUCCAGUGACCUGCUAUCCUUUGCACUUGAAGGGACUAUGAUUAAACUGUUUAAAGUAAAGGAAAAACAGAGAGAACUUGCAGAAAAUGC